GAUGAACGCUGGCGGCGUGCCUAAUACAUGCAAGUCGAGCGAACAGACGAGGAGCUUGCUCCUCUGACGUUAGCGGCGGACGGGUGAGUAACACGUGGAUAACCUACCUAUAAGACUGGGAUAGCUUCGGGAAACCGGAGCUAAUACCGGAUAACAUGUUGAACCGCAUGGUUCAACAGUGAAAGACGGUUUUGCUGUCACUUAUAGAUGGAUCCGCGUCGCAUUAGCUAGUUGGUAAGGUAACGGCUUACCAAGGCAACGAUGCGUAGCCGACCUGAGAGGGUGAUCGGCCACACUGGAACUGAGACACGGUCCAGACUCCUACGGGAGGCAGCAGUAGGGAAUCUUCCGCAAUGGGCGAAAGCCUGACGGAGCAACGCCGCGUGAGUGAAGAAGGUCUUCGGAUCGUAAAACUCUGUUAUUAGGGAAGAACAAAUGUGUAAGUAACUAUGCACGUCUUGACGGUACCUAAUCAGAAAGCCACGGCUAACUACGUG
RNAcentral lists this ribosomal RNA (497 nucleotides) under uncultured bacterium. Its description in RNAcentral is "partial 16S ribosomal RNA". It matches the Rfam family "Bacterial small subunit ribosomal RNA", at positions 28 to 507 of the family's 1533-position model. The record is from RNAcentral.